AACGAACGCUGGCGGCGUGGAUAAGACAUGCAAGUCGUACGAAGUGGCUUCGGUCACUUAGUGGCGCACGGGUGAGUAACACGUGAAUCAUCUGCCCCUGAGACAGGGAUAGCCCCGGGAAACUGGGAUUAAUACCUGAUGGUCUCGCAAGAGUAAAGCAGCAAUGCGCUCAGGGAGGAGCUCGCGUCCUAUUAGGUAGUUGGUGAGGUAACGGCUCACCAAGCCGACGAUCAGUAGCCGGACUGAGAGGUUGAACGGCCACAUUGGAACUGAGAUACGGUCCAGACUCCUACGGGAGGCAGCAGUGGGGAAUAUUGGGCAAUGGACGAAAGUCUGACCCAGCGACGCCGCGUGAAGGAAGAAGAUCUUCGGAUUGUAAACUUCUGUUGACAGGGAAGAAGAAAGUGACGGUACCUGUCGAGGAAGCCACGGCUAACUACGUG
RNAcentral lists this ribosomal RNA (443 nucleotides) under uncultured bacterium. RNAcentral's name for it is "bacterial SSU rRNA". It matches the Rfam family "Bacterial small subunit ribosomal RNA", at positions 29 to 507 of the family's 1533-position model. The record is from RNAcentral.